ACUUACCUAUCAGAGGGGGAUAGCCCGGCGAAAGUCGGAUUAAUACCCCAUAAAACAGGGGUCCCGCAUGGGAAUAUUUGUUAAAGAUUCAUCGCUGAUAGAUAGGCAUGCGUUCCAUUAGGCAGUUGGCGGGGUAACGGCCCACCAAACCGACGAUGGAUAGGGGUUCUGAGAGGAAGGUCCCCCACAUUGGUACUGAGACACGGACCAAACUCCUACGGGAGGCAGCAGUGAGGAAUAUUGGUCAAUGGCCGAGAGGCUGAACCAGCCAAGUCGCGUGAAGGAAGAAGGAUCUAUGGUUUGUAAACUUCUUUUAUAGGGGAAUAAAGUGGAGGACGUGUCCUUUUUUGUAUGUACCCUAUGAAUAAGCAUCGGCUAACUCCGUGCCAGCAGCCGCGGUAAUACGGAGGAUGCGAGCGUUAUCCGGAUUUAUUGGGUUUAAAGGGUGCGUAGGUGGUGAUUUAAGUCAGCGGUGAAAGUUUGUGGCUCAACCAUAAAAUUGCCGUUGAAACUGGGUUACUUGAGUGUGUUUGAGGUAGGCGGAAUGCGUGGUGUAGCGGUGAAAUGCAUAGAUAUCACGCAGAACUCCGAUUGCGAAGGCAGCUUACUAAACCAUAACUGACACUGAAGCACGAAAGCGUGGGGAUCAAACAGGAUUAGAUACCC
RNAcentral lists this ribosomal RNA (666 nucleotides) under uncultured bacterium. RNAcentral describes it as "bacterial SSU rRNA". It matches the Rfam family "Bacterial small subunit ribosomal RNA", at positions 124 to 787 of the family's 1533-position model. The record is from RNAcentral.